Molecule: long non-coding RNA, 3823 nt
Filed under: Sus scrofa (pig)
Lineage: Eukaryota; Metazoa; Chordata; Mammalia; Artiodactyla; Suidae
Description: lncRNA (ENSSSCG00065064247.1, ENSSSCG00150036568.1)
Source: RNAcentral
CCUCCAUAUGCUGCGAGAGCGGCCCUAGAAAAGGCAAAAAGACAAAAACAAACAAACAAACAAAAGAAUGAAGUAAUGUCAUUUGUAGCAACAUGGAUGGACUUAAAAAUGAUCAUAUUAAGUGAAGUAAGUCAGAAAGAGAACGACAAAUACUGUAUGAUGUCACUUAUAUAUGGAAUCUAAAAUACAACACAGAUGACUCACAGACAUAAAGAACAGACUUGCGGUUGCCAAAGGGGAGGGGAGAGGGGAGGAAAUGAUGGAGAGUUUGCCAUUAGCAGAUGCCAACUAUUGUAGAGAAUGGAUAAACAACAAGGUCCUGUGGUAGCACCGGGAACCAUAUUCAAUAUCCUAUGAUAAACCUAGUGGAAAAGAAUAUGAAAAAGAACAUGUGUGUGUGUGUGUGUGUGUGUGUGUGUACACAUAUAUGUAUAACUGAAUCACUUUGCUGUAUAGCAGAAAUUAAUGCCACAUUCUAAAUUAACUGUACUUCAAUAAAAGAAAAACGAAAAGAAACGCUUUGUCAGUGUCAAGGGGCAUUUUGGCAGUCCACACUGGCCUGUGCAUCAGCCAUGUAGUUUGCCUUCUGACAUAUGCUGUGAGUUUGAGAAAGAAAAAGAUAUUAGAAGAGAUUAUAUCUGCAGAUACUAAGAAAUAAAAGAUUAAGAUCCAAGGUCCUUAGGCGCUCACACCGCUUUGGUAAAGGGCUUGUGAGCUGGAAGGCACUCUUCACCCACUCUCCACUGAGCGGUCCCUCUGACCCCCAGAGGGGGCAGUGCCAGGAUUCGCUCCUCCUCAGGGUACCGCCUCAGUACCCAACUUUACGGGUCAUCCUGAGACUUCAGCGCAGUGGUGAUCUUAGUAUUUUGGAAGAUUGCUUUCUGUAAUGAGAUGUUCACAUGGGACCUUUUGUGAGUUAGCUUCAGAAUGUAAAGUGCUAACUUCUUCUACAUUCUGGUGUGAUGUCGGAUGAUACAAUCGGAACUUGUAGAGGAUGCGGUCAAAGGUUAUGCGACUCUUAGGCCAGUGUUCACCUGGAAGGUGUAAAAGUGAGCAAAGAAAAGAUUUAAAAAGUGAGAAGCAUUUUAACUGGAAAACGUUCUUGGAGAUGCAGCCUCUUGCACAUGGGGAGAGACAGGCGCUCACUCUGCCUUACUUCAGGCUGAACGACCAAUGUUUUAAGGAGCCAGGAGUCUAUAGGCACAGGGUUGAUAAUGGCCUCAUGCCUGUUAAAGCCUAAUGGGGAAAACUGUGUCUGGUAUCUGUACUGGCGACAGAUGAAGAGAGGCAGUUUUACUGGGAAAGACCUGCUCUCCCAUAGGUCUUCGGAGCCAAGAAUAUAUGCUUCUAAUGGACCAGAUGGAUCACCAGAAAAGAGGGGCUGGGAAGCACCCUAAAAGGCUUUUGCCUAAAAGGACUUUUAAAUGGGUGUUGGGACCCCAGGAAAGCAAGUCUCAUUGAGGAGUUCCCUGGUGGCUCAGUGGAUUAAGGAUAUGGUGUUGUCACUGCAGUGGGUUGGGUCACUGACUGUCUGUAAAUAACUCAUAAAUAUGCCACAAGAAGGGGUCAGCUGUGAACACCCCAUGAACCUAGUCUGUGAAUCAACUCACCAUUAUGCCCAAAGGACACCCAUGUCAGAUUACAUCAGCACUGAUAAAGAAAAACUUCUCCUGCCUUUGUUCCUCUUCAAUAUUUCGCUUCAAUCCUCAAGGAGCCAAGGCAGCCUCUGGAGGAAAAAGAGAGAAAGGCGAUUACCGACAACAAACCUAAUGAAGACCUGAUCUGAAAAAGGAAGACACUUAAACUACAAAGAAAGUUAAAUUCACGAUAAUUCCAUAGGAUUGAACUAUUAAUCACUGAACUUAGGCUGUCCAGGGAAACAUUUUUUAUUAUUGGCAAGCUAUGGAGCCAACUUGAUGUUAAAUCCUUAGAAAAGAACUAGCAUCCAGAAUAUGUCUGAAUCUGCAAUGAGCAAAGAGAUAAAAUGCCCCCUCCCUACCCCUACCACGCCACUUACAGUCUUGCUCUUUCAGUGUCUUGGUUAUACUUUUAUUGUUUGCAGGAGGAUAGCUAGAGGGUACAAAGCUCACUACAACUUAAAUUCCAUCUGUUUUCUUACCCCACCCCUACUCUAUGUAAGAUUCCCCUCUAAUAUAAUUAAAAUAGCUACUAUCAAUUACUAGAGCAUUUGCUUCAUUCCACAUACUAUGCUAAGUGCUCUAUGAAAAUAAACCAAUCUUGUUAUUAACCUGCCCGAGGCAGUGGGUAUCAUAGUCUCUUAUUACAGUUUAGGAAACGGGCUAAGAUAGGGGAAGCCCUUUAACCAAUACCACAUGACUAAUGAGUGGCAGAGUCCAGGUUUCAGCGAAAAUCUAACCAACUCAAAACUUCAUCUACCAACCAUGAGCCCACUUCCUCUGUCUCAAGCAGAUGUUAAGGAGACACUUGUAAUAAAGACUUUGUUAGUCUCUAAUUAAACUAAGUCUGGGAAAGAACUAACCUUCAGCAACUCAUUCCAGCUUAAGCUCCCAUUGCUGUAAGAGUAUCCUUUGUAAAGUAGCAGAAAUCAAUUCCUGGACAUUUCUGCUCAUUGCUGUUACUUAAUUCUGCCUUAUCAACACCACAUUAAAGUAGUGUAAAUACUUGAAUACAUGAGAAUCUUUUUGCUACAAUGGCCAUAUCUUCUUUAAAAAUAUUUUUUUCCAGUUGAACCCCCUCAGUCAUUUCUAACAUGUGUCACACUUUUAACUUGUCCUUAAAUGAUACCAGUUAAACGUAGCUUCCUUGACAAGUCUUUUCACAGUGGUACAUAGAGAGCACUUUGCUUGGUACACUGUAUUAUAGGCAAUUUAAAUGUCUAGAUGCAAUUAGACUCUAAUUGUGAAUGUUGGUUGGUUGGUUGGGUUGAUAAUUCCUCACCAGCUCCUUUUUCAAUUCAAAUUCCUUCAUCUGGGGGACCCCCCCCCCAGUUCGUUAAUGUAGCUCUAAAAUCAUUCUGAUCAUGUUCAGUCUUGACUUUGCCCCUCAAGAGAUUUGAUAUCUGUUUUCUUGUGCUGAGGGCCAUGGCCUCCACUGAGUCAUUUAAACCAUUCAUGUCUCUGCCUUCCCCUUAGUGAUCUUUUAAUUCAUCCUGAUACAGCUGAGCGUGUUUCCUUUUUGACAUUCUGCUUUAAAUAUAAUCCCACAACAUGCAAGCAGAGACGUUUCUAGACAUUUAGAAGCAGAGAGGUAGACUUCAGGUGGAAUGUUAAUGAUAGAGUCACUUUUGGUGUGUUCUUAAUUCAGAGAUAGAUUGAUUUAAAGAGAAUAUGUGAAAACAGAAAGAACGAUGAGCAGGAAGGAAGACUAAACUAGGAAAGGGUGGAUGGGGAGAGGUGCCUAAACAAUAGAGAUUAAUAAUAAUGAUUCCAGAAAAUAACUUCCGUUUACGAACUAAUUACUAUGUUCCAGACUCUGAAAAUUGCUUUACCCACAGCAUACUAUAUAAUUCUUAACACAGUGUUAAAAAGAUAAUUAUUAUUUUUCUUAUGUUACUAAGGAAACUGAGGCUUGGGGUGUUAAAUCACUUGUUACAGGUUUUAUAGGCAUUAAAUUACAGAGGUAAAGAGUUACCAUUGUGGCUCGGUGGGUUAAAAAUCCAACUAGUAUCCAUGAGGAUGCAGGUUCAAUCCCUGGCCUUUCUCAGUAGGUUAAGGAUCCGGCGUUGCCUCAAGAUGCAGUGUGGGUCAGAGAUGUUGCUUGGAUCUCAUGCGGCUCUGGCUGUGGUGCAGGCUGGCAGCUGCAGCUCUGAUUCGACCCCCAGCCCAGAAACUUCCAUAUGCCA